Molecule: long non-coding RNA, 1263 nt
Organism: Myotis davidii
Lineage: Eukaryota; Metazoa; Chordata; Mammalia; Chiroptera; Vespertilionidae
Exons: 2
Source: RefSeq, a predicted model, not a curated record
GCCCCACAGCUUGUGGGGCGCCUACCUUUUCUUGGGGGUUGCGGGCAGCCCCGGGCGAAAGAAGAGGGGGAGGAUUGGGAACCCAGCGGGACGCGCGCUCGGUGAGGAGGAGGAGGGAACCGGCCGGAGGUGUGGAGGGCGCUGACGUGUUUGCUCGGGCACCUCGCAGUGUCACUCCGGACUUCCGAGUGUCGCCCUGCGCCCACCCGGUUUCCUCCACUGUAAAGACGGGGAUGUGGGCAGACCUGCCGGCGCUCCCCUGAGUGCUGCCGGCACGACCCGCCCCGAGGCCGCAGGACCUGGGCCUGCCGUCGGCGUCGGGCUCGCGGUCAGCGGGCUUGGCGUUCCGGCCCCUCCCCUGCCUGAGGGCGCGAAGGGUGAACCCGGUCCACUGGGCAGUGGGGCGAGCGCGCCCCGUGUGUUCUUGGAUUGUAAUCUUUCAAGUAAAAAAUUUGAGUUUAGGGGAACAAGAGCAAAAGGAAAAUAUUAACAGGACUUCAAAGGUCAGCUAGAGAAAUGCCUGCAGUUUUAAGAUCUCCCAUGCUAGCAAAGCAGCAGUUGAAUCUGACUUUUUUCCCUUGGUUUUGUCACCCUCUUGCUGUUCAGUAUAUUUUAACAUCUGAUGGGUGCCUUUUUUCCUUUAGCCUCGAGGAUCCUUUUGAAUGCACUGGAUGAUCUAUUUUUUUAAAAUUCUUAAGUUAACUAUGUUAUUUAUAUAUGUUGACUACAAUCCAAAAGAGUAGACAACUAUUUUUUACCCACUUUUUAAAAAUCAGCUUCAUUAUUGUUUAAACACCAUAAAGUUCACUCAUUUUAAAUGUGCGAUGCAACGAGUUUUAAUAAACAUGCAGAGAUGUACAACCAUCACCACCACCUGAUUUUAGACUCUUUCCAUCACUCCAAAAACAUCUCUCAUGCCUGUUUGUGAUCAGCCUUCAUUCUCGCCACAUAACCUCAGACAACAACCACUACUACUUUCCUUUCCAUCUCUAUAGAUUAGAGAUAGCCUCUAAACACGAGCAGCAGUCAUGGCUGCAAGGGGCAUUAUCAAGCAAACGGUGUAGAACCAGGAUGCAGAAGGAGGAAAUGGCAUGGCAGUUGAGAAACCUGCAAGUAUUCUGGGGCAAAACAGGUGAAGAUACAAGAAAUCAGGAGUCUGCAAACCAGAAGAGAACCUUACCAGAACUUGACCAUAUUGGCACCCUAACCUAAGACUUCCAGCCUCCAGAACUGGAAAACAAUAAAGUUCUAUUGUUUGAGCCA